This 7742-nucleotide long non-coding RNA is filed under the name Malus domestica (apple). RNAcentral's name for it is "long non-coding RNA (MDOM_LNC002073)". Lineage: Eukaryota; Viridiplantae; Streptophyta; Magnoliopsida; Rosales; Rosaceae. The record is from RNAcentral.
GGGAAAGAAAGAGAGGAAGGAAGGAAGAGGAAGAGAGAGAAGGAAGAGGAAGAGAGAAAAUAGAAGAAGAUAAGAGGAGAUAAUAGAGAGAGUUAUCUUUGUACUCCUAUUAUUCUAAAUUAUAAUGAAAGCACCACUGCUGCCCCGAUGACGUACUCCAGUCACACUGACUGUAGAGGAACCUCGUAAAAUUUGUGUCUUGUUUCAUUUAUUCCACUGCACCCACAGUCGAUUUUACAACACGUUAUCAGCACGAGAAGCUCUCAUGUCAGUGGAAAGCACAACGCCACAAAUCCUGUUCACCUCCUUCAGCUGGAAUCUCACAGAUAAGAAACAAUUUUCAUUUCAUCUUCAAAUCUCAGUACAAUUGAUUUUCUUGAAGCAACUAUAUAUAUUGUUAUAUGACUGUAUAUCAUCCUUUGCAGAAGCAAAAGAGUAAAAGACUAAAAAUUUGCAAGAGAAUUUGACAGCCAUGUAAAUAGCCUCGGAACUCCAACUUGCGGACCUCGGAUUGAAAUACUUUCUUCUUGAAAGUUGUUCGUCUGCUCAGUAUCUACAACAUAUCAAAAUUUCAGAAAAUGUUAACGGUGCGAUCGUGGCAGAUGUCUGAAAUACCAAACCAGUUUCCAAUUUCCGCAGAAAACUGGGCAGCCACCUUAUGAGUACCAAAACUCCAUUUCGGUAGCUCAAAUCGAUAUUGUUUCUUCACGAAAGUUGUUUGGUAUCCUCUUAUCCAUAUCAUACUAAAUUUUGAACUAAAUCUAACGGUUUGAUCUUCUCAUAAGUUGCAGACACUCUUGACUCCAAAACUUAUGGGAACCGUUUCGACUUUUUCGAAACUCACCGGAGGAGGAACCCCAAUUGGAACUUAUUGUUACUAUUAUUUACUGAGUAACCAAAAUGACUUCGAACUGUGAAAUAAUAAUAAAAAUAAAAGGGAUGAAACAAAAAGAAGUGGUAGACCAAGAAAAAUGAAAAAAGCAAAACAUGAGGACUUAAUCAUUGCAUUUUCUGUUUUGGCAUAUUUAUGUGCAUGGUGUUGGUUUAAAGCCCAUGUCACAAGUUCUAUUUAUUUAAAGCAAUUUAUUUAUAGUGGGUAGAAUUAUUACCCUUUGCUUUAAAGCUUUGAUAUUUAUGUGAAUGGUGCUGAAUCAAAGCCCUUGUCACAAGCUUUAUUUACUUUAAAGCAAUUUAUUUUUACCAUGGACGGUUUUACCGCCUAUUGCUUUAAGUUUUGAUGGUGCUGAAUUAAAGCCCUUGUCACAAAUUUUAUUUACUUAAAUGCAAUUUAUUCAUUAUGGCUGGAAUUACCGUCUAUUGCUUUAAUUUAUUUAUUGUACUUAUCUUUUGUUACUAUGAGUAUAUACAGGACCUGAAGUUCCUUGAUCAGAUCAGAACCUGCAGUUUCUUGAUCCUCAUCAUAUAAAAUGAUUGGACCCGAAGUUCCAUCAUACAAAAGGAUCUAGCAUGAAGUCCCUUGAUCCUGAAGAUCAGGACAUGAAGUUCCUAGAUGAGUACCAUAAGUUUGAAGUGCCGCAGUGCUUUAACUUAAUUGUAAUAAAAGCCAUAAGAGUCUCAGUUUACAGACUAUUAAAUAAGGACCAGAAGUUCCUUAUGUCCAUACUCAAAAUGGUUUAGCAGAAGCCUUUAUUAAGCGAAUGAAAUUGAUUUCCCGCACUCUGCUCAUGAAAACGAAAUUGCCAAUUUUCUACAUGGGGACAUGUAAAUUUUACAUGAUGCAUUAUUAAUUCGGUUGAGACAUGUUACCGACCAUCAAUACUUCUCAGUACAACUCGGGUUUGGAACCAACCAAACAUUAUACAUUUACGAGUUUUUGGUUGUGUUGUCUAUGUGCCUGUAAGACUGCCACAACGUACUGAAAUGAGGCAUCAUUGCAGUUUAGGCAUUGAUGUUGAACACCAUCUAUUAUUCAAUAUUUGGAAUUCUUGAUUGGGGAUAUGUUUACCGCAUGGUUUGCGGACUGUCAUUUUGAUAAGACAAUUUUCCUGCCAUUAGGGGGAGAAAAUAAUAUCGUUCCAGAAGAACGAUGAGAAAAUAUCAUUCCAAAAGAAUAAUGAGAAAAGACCGUUCCAGAAGAACGAAGAGAAUUUGUCUUAUUUUGAUUCACGAAGCAAUCAAUAAGAAAAUGAAAUAUGAAUAAUUGAAUGAUGCAACGAAAGUGAUGAAAUCAUAUAUACUUACUGCAAAUGUGCCUACAAGAAUUGAUGUCUCUGUUGGAUAAAAUAAUGAGACAGUAAAUGAUUUAUCUGUUGCACGCCUGAAGCGUGGCAGAUUUUUAGACUCAAAAGGUUCAGUUAUUCGAAAGAAGAAUAAUAUGGCACUACUGAACUAUUGCAUUCCCGAAGCAUAACUGUUGCAUGCCAGAAGCAUGACAGUCGCCGCGUGGAUACACGUCCCAGAUAGGACAAUCCACAGACAUGGGAAUAUUGAUGUCUCAUGCAUGAAGCAUGAUUGACGUAUAGGUUCUAAAUGACUCAACUCUUGGAAGUGGAGAUUAAAAUCCAAGCUCUAUAACGCUUAAGAAGAGGUUAUGAUCCGCAUUCUCUAAACUAUGACUAUCCUGGAAGAGAUAGUGUAAUGCCCUUGAAGAGGCAAUUGAUAUCCAAAGAAAUGAAAGCUUUUAUGCAUGCGCAUACACAUGAGAAUAUGGGAUCACGGAUUGAUGAUAACCAAUGGUAAUUUUGGUUUUUACAAGUACCUACUAAAUUCAUCAAUGAGCUGUGUUAAUAUUGAGUCACGUUCUUUUGUUCGUCGACAAAAGGAAAAUUAUUGGCCAAAAUGGAGAAAGGCAAUUCCAUUACAAUUUUGUAAGAACGUGGGCAAAUGAACCUAUAUAUAUUUGAAUACAAUACAAAUAGCCAAAAGAUGUUGAACCAAGGAGAUUAUAUAUGGGCAUUUGUAAUACAGUGUAAUACACUUACAUGAUAUGACACAAGGUUGUAAACGAGUUCAUAUAAAUGGAGAAUUAUAUAUGAAGGGUUGUGAGUCACCCACAUCAUAUCUCCAUAAGUAAAUCCCUCAAAUAUACAUGGGAGCAAAUUGCUCUGUAUAAAUUCCAAAGGAAAAUGUGUCAUGAAGUGUAGAAAAUCCUUGAAUGAUUCAAAUUGCUUGAAGUAAGGCCCCGAAGGGUAAAGCAUAAAUUAUGUACUCAAUAUCAAUGGAUGAUAUAAAUUGCCUUAGUGAGUACUAUCAUUAUGAUAUUGUUGCAACAUACUAAAAUCUCUUGCAAGAGUCAAUGACAUUAAAUUAGAACUCUUGAAGAGUUGAUGAUAUUAAAUUGGGACUCCUGAAGAGUCUAGAAAAAUUAUAAAGUGUUGAAGGAAUUAUUGUCUCGAGCUGCAGAUCGAACAAUCUACCAACACGAAUCUUAUCCAUGAUAUUUAUGAUAUUAAAAGAACCAUAUGGAUUGAAGAUUAUGAGUUGAAUACUCAUAUGAUGAAAACACUAAGAAUAAUCAUUUAUCUUCGUGAGAGUAAAGAUAAAUUAAUACUUGGUCCAGAAGUACCACAUCUUAGUGAAGUAUAUGCUUUAUUGUAUUUGGCACAAUACAUUGAAUGAAAUAAAGCUUAUUUAUUAAUAUCUCCAAGAAAUUACAGAUAUAUACAUACACAUGAGUUAAAAUAAACAAACAAGAUGGAGCCUUCACAAAGGUUACUCAUGUGCAGCCUCAGUACUCGAAAGUACCCCAGAAGGGGGAGGCACUGGAGAUUGAUCAUGUGGCACCCAGUACUUAGCAAAACACCAGAAGGGGAAGGCAUCAGUUGCUUUCGGAAUCUAGCAACGAACCUCUGGUGAUCACUUUGAAUCCGACUUUCGGAUUCUUGCAGUUGGUCGAGCUUUCUUUUCAUGCUCGUAGAGUAACUAUUUGCAAGCACGUGUAACACCCUAUUCUCGUGCUUGAGCCCUCUGAUCUCUUGUUUAAGACUUGCCACCUCCGCCAUCAAUGAUUCAACUUGGCGAGUUUGAGCAAGUAGGCGUUGGCCCAUAUUGGACACAGAGCCAGCACACUGAACACUGAGAGCCAAGGAGUCUUGAAUGGCCGACUCUUCAGACCGUUCUGAAAGGAUCUUGUUAUCCCUUGGAGUGAGAAGAUUCCUAGCUACCACAGUAGCGGUUAUGUUAUUCUUCAUCACAGAGUCCCCAACCGUAAGAGGACCAUUAGAAGAUAAGAAGGACGGGCGCCAUAUAUUAUCCUGACGCUGCUCGUCUGUAUCACUCAUAAGACUCAAAUCUAAGCAAAUGUUAGAUGGGCAAGUCAUUUUCAGAAAUGAUAAAGGAAAAACAGAGGUCAAAUAAAAUUUCAGAAGUGCAAGAUAGAGGAAAUUUCUACAGGCAGCAACUUUCUGAGCAUACUCUUGAACACAAUUGAUGUCUCUAUAAAAGAAGAGGCAGCAGAGCCACUUGUUCAAAGAUCGAAGAGGCACCGCUCUCCGAAUUUCAAAAGCCAGAUUUUCCUGAAUAAAGUUCGUUGGCAUUUUUCAGACGUAAUCCCAACUUUUUCAGAUGUCGCGUGCAAUUUUGUCAAAGAUCUCUGACAAAGUUGAAAACGCGUAAAUCUUACUGUUCUAUUUACACCACAGUUGCUGACAAGAGUAAAAGCACAGCACCACCACUUGCUAUUGAGAAAUCUCUAUAUAUGUCGACCUCUGUUCUCCAUAACAAGGCAGACCUGCAACACUGCAAGAAUACCUAACUCUUCCUCAUCUCCGAGAAUGCAUCUUCAACAUAGCAUCUCGAAAUACUCAGUUUUCUUCCUCUCCGAGAAUACCUCUUCAAACAUGUCACACCAGAGCAAGAUUAUCACAUAUCUUCAGGGACCAGAGCAAGAUUAUCUCAUAUCAUGCAAUCUCCCUGUCCUUUCCUUUGUCCAUGUUCUUGCCUGCAAAGACAAGGAUAAGGAAAGCAAUAUGUCGGAACCUCCACUCAAACUCCCGGUAAGGAACCGAUUGCCUGGAACCUUUCCUGAUUGCUUACCUAGUAUUGCUCUCGAGUAGUCAUCUUCAACGGUUGGAGUUGGGUCUCCAGUCACCAAGAAGUGAUGAACCAUCCAAAUGCAAGGGUUUGCAUUCCACUUCUGCACCAGGGGACAAAUCCUACAAGAGAAGAUGCCACAUAUGCAUGGGGGGAAAAGCAGUGAAAAUACUACUUAAGCAAGGGGAGCAAGUAAGGAAAGUGAAAAUGAUACAUUGAAGCAUGUGGAGACAAGCGCAACAAACGCGUGCUGAUUCAUCCCUGACAAAACUGAAGAUCACUUGCCACAUGAAGCUCCUCAUGGUCCAAUUUCAUUCAAGAUCAAGCCUCGAAGGUCCUUAAAGAAAUCACAAGUCCGAUUCAAGAUCAAGUGUUCACUACUCUUGAAUCAAAUUCCGCUCCAGAUAAAAGGAGUAAAUUCAGACCUUUGGAUGCUAGUCUAGCAGAAAGUCCUACAACCCAGUUCAAGAAAAAGCCUGUGGAAAGUUAACAACAAGUAAAGCAACUCUUUUAGCAACUCUUCUUACUAAGAGACUAAAGCAGAACGAUCAACGAUCAACCUAAAUGAUUUGAAAUCUGGGGGAGAUACUCAUCAGGGGGAGCAUUCAAAACAAAUCAAGAUUUUAACGAGUCAAUCGAAGACUUGUGGCCAUCCAAGGGGGAGUGUUGUAGAAAUGGAUGUCCACUCAAAUAAUGGGCAAGUUGCCCUUCCACUAUUUAGCAUGUGAUUUACUUGUAUAAAAACAAGCCUUAUGAAACACAACAAAGAUAGAUGAAUGUGAAGGGUUCACGGGAAAGAAAGAGAGGAAGGAAGGAAGAGGAAGAGAGAGAAGGAAGAGGAAGAGAGAAAAUAGAAGAAGAUAAGAGGAGAUAAUAGAGAGAGUUAUCUUUGUACUCCUAUUAUUCUAAAUUAUAAUGAAAGCACCACUGCUGCCCCGAGGACGUACUCCAGUCACACUGACUGUAGAGGAACCUCGUAAAAUUUGUGUCUUGUUUCAUUUAUUCCACUGCACCCACAGUCGAUUUUACAACAAAUACCAUCCCCAUUUCCAUUUUUCCUCUAUGGCGUCCCCUAUUCCCUUCUACUUUUCUUCUGCACAAUUCCCACAAAUUAAAAAUAUUACUUUUCAAAUUCAAUUUAAUAAACAACGAACUUACACUUCCAUUCCAUACAUAUAUAUCCAAAAGAACAAAGCUCUUCCCAAACAGAAAAAUAGUCUACAUUUUAAAAAAAAAUAUUAAAAAACUUAUGUAAGUAGUGGAUUGUUUUGGUAAAUUAAAGUUAUAUUGUCAACUUAUGACGUUGCAGGUUUAACUUUUUAUCCUCUUAAAAUAAAUUAGCAUAGAAUAUUGUUUGUACUAAAAAGAAUAAGUAAUUAAUAUAGAAUAUCGCUUGUACUAAAACAAAAAAUUAUUCAUCAAAUUAAAACAAAAUUUUCAUAAAAUUAGCAUAGAAUAUCGCUUGUACUAAGAAUAAGUAAUUAGGUCGGAUCGGAUGAAUUGAAGAAGAUCAACGGACAUAAAUUAAUAAAUUACCAAGGGGUGUGUGAGAAGUAAUUUGGGGUGUAUGGAUAGCACACUUCUAUUUAUAGAACUAAACACUGACUAUUUUUAGAAUGAACUCUAAUUAUUUCUAGAAUUAAACACAAUUAUUUAUAGAACUAAGCACUAAUUAUUUCUAAAACUAAACACUGACUAUUUUACUGUAGUUUUAGAAAUAGUGUUUAUUUGUUCCCUUUUUAGAAAUAGUGUUAUUUAUUUUGAUUCAGUUUUCAGAAAUAGUGUGCAAUUUUAUUGUAGCUCCAGAAAUAAUGUGGAUUAUUUUGGUUCUAUUUCAGAAAUAGUGUUGGUUAUUUUGAUGCAUUUUAAAAAAUAAUGUUUAUUUUGUUUUAAUCCAUAAAUAAUGUGGGUUAUUUUGGUUCAGUUCCAGAAAUAGUGUCAGUUAUUUUGCUGCAGUUCCAAAAAUAGUUUGAGUUAUUUUGUUGUAGUUUUAGAAAUAGUAUGUAUUUUGUUCUGUUACAAAAAUAAUUUGGGUUAUUUUGCUAUAGUUUCAGAAAUAGUGUUUAUUUGUUUAAUUCCAAAAAUAGUACGGACUAUUUUAGUUCAGUUUUCAGAAAUAGUGUGGGUUAUUUUUCUAUAGUUUCAAAAAUAGUGUGGGUUACUUUGGUUUAGUUUCAGAAAUAGUGUGGGUUAUUUUGCUAUAGUUUCAGAAAUAGUGUGGGUUAUUUUGCUAUAGUUUCAGAAAUAUUGAGUUAUUUCAGUAGUUUUAUAAAUAGUGUGGGUUAUAUUGGUUCGAUUUCAGAAAUAGUUUGGGUUAUUUUGUUGUAGUUCCAGAAGUAGUAUGGCUUAUUUUGAUGUAGUUCUAAAACUAGUGUGAGUUAUUUUGGUUUAAUUUCAUAAUUCAGUAGUUUUAUAAAUAGUGUGGGUUAUAUUGGUUCGGUUUCAGAAAUAGUUUGGGUUAUUUUGUUGUAGUUCCAGAAGUAGUAUGGCUUAUUUUGAUGUAGUUCUAAAACUAGUGUGAGUUAUUUUGGUUUAAUUUCAGAAAGAGUGUAUGUGACAACCCGUCCCAAAUUUUAUUAUUUUAUAAUUUUAAAAUGAGAAUUUACUAUAGUACCCUAGUGGCGAGGGUAUUGAUUUUCAUUGAUCGUUAGUUCGUGAUGCGUAUGAACUAUUACCUUACUGUAUUCCAAAAGUAUAUUGGUAAGGAUUGUUAAUUAUUAUUUAAUUUAUUUCAUAUCAUCUUUAUUAUU